Long non-coding RNA from Juglans microcarpa x Juglans regia, 2799 nucleotides. RefSeq lists it as uncharacterized. The transcript has 3 exons. The record is from RefSeq and is a predicted model, not a curated record. Lineage: Eukaryota; Viridiplantae; Streptophyta; Magnoliopsida; Fagales; Juglandaceae.
CUUAAAGUAUGGGUGAAGAUGAUAAAUAAGAAAGCCUUAGGAAAAAAAAAAAAAAACAACCCACAAAAGGGAAAGCUUCUUGCCAUCAUUGACGCUUGUUGCGCCUACCCCGCCUCGAUUCCUUCAUGUUUUUCUUGCUGAUUUCUUCUAGAUGGCUUCUCUGCCAUGCCUUUUGUUCUCAAAUACGGCUAGAUCGCUUCGAGAGCUACGCAUCGGCAGCUUCAAGAGGUUGAACCGAUUGACUCUGCAAAAUAUUUGGUUUGACUAUCCCCAGCGUGGGAAUCUUCAUUCCGAGAGAUUUGAUUCAAGAUCUCUCGAGUAAUCGCUUCACUUUUGACGGAUGUGAUUCAUUCUUUUCUUAGGUUUUUUCCUCGUUAUAUCAUUGUAAGUUAAUCCUCUCUGGAAUGUUUCCCUCUCUACUCGGUCUUAUUUGACUUUGAAAAUUGUAAAAUUCAAGAGGAGACGGGAAGUACCUUUGUUUAGUCUCAGAUCGUUGUAGGGACGUCGAUAAUUUUGGACAGACAUGGUGUUCAGUUCAUGCAGCUUUUGGAUCCGAAGGCAAUUUACACCUUCGCUAUCACGGAGUUAAACGAUUUCACAGCAAGGGUUCCUGGUUGCUGGCCCCCCGUAGGUGCAUGAUACGUGUGAGCACAAUAAUGAAGAUGUUGCUAUGACAUUCAUUUGUUGCCGCCGUUAUAUGUAACUCGAUGAUGUAAAUGGAUGUAUAAGACUUAGUCGGGACGUAAGGGCCGAGUUUGAGUUGGCUUGAGUCCCGAUUCAUCGUUGUUAUCCGACCUUUGCCAUGACAGGUGCGCUUGCAUGGUGGGUCACAGCAAACAUAAUAAAAAAGUGCUACGUUUUUUGUUGUGAUGGGGGAGAUCGCACGGGAGUUUGCCCGGGGUCUCCCCACCGCUUUGUGCCGUUGUCCUGUGCUGCCUUUUCUGCGUUCGUUUUUAUUUUAGCUCGCGACGCUCAUGAUUUCUUGCUUACCAGAUGAAAGAGAUAGCUGAGCUACGUCAGCAGCAUUACAACUGCAUGCACUUGCAAGUCCUCAUGGCUUUUGAGCAAUUUGAGAGGACACACAUGUAAUUGGGAGAAUUUGUGUUGGUGGAUUUCUGCAACCCUUUGAGAUCUUCAAUCGUGUAUACCUGUAUUUAAAUCAUUUUGGGGAUUAGAUUUUCUUUUGAGGAGGUUGAAGACGUGGAAAAGGUGUCCCGCACCAUGAUUUUAUUGGAAACAAACAUUACUUGAAGGCUUCUCAGUCGCAGCAGAUUCUUCAAAGUAGCUUUGUGCAUGAUAUGCAACAUCUGAGGUGACGUUGCUAUGACGAUCAUUUGUUUCUGCCCGUAUAUGUAACUCGAUGAUGUAAAUGGAUGUAUAAGACUUAGUUGGGACAAAAGGCCCGAGUUUGAGUGGGCUUGAGUCCUGAUUCAUCUUUGUCAUCCGACCUUUGCCAUGACAGGUGCUCUUGCAUGGCGGGUCACAGCAACUAUAAUAAAAAACUUCGACUUUUUUGGUUUGAGGGGGAGAUCACCUGGGAGUUGUCCUGGGGUCUCCCCACCGCUGUGUUCCAUUGUCCUGUGCUACUCUUUCUGUGUUCGUCUCUAUUUUAGCUCGCGAAGCCCGUGAUUUCUUACUUACCAGAUGAAAGGGAUAGCUGAGAUACAUCAACAACCUUACAACACUCGCAAGUUCACGUGGCUUUUGAGGUAUAAUAUAUACUCCAUCAAAUUUUCCUUUUUAUUUACAACAAUAUCUUUGGCUAUUCAAUUCAUUCAACUAUAGAUUUUAGUAUUUAUAUUUUAUCGUACUUAUCAAAAAAGAAAAAAAGAAAAAGAUUUGAGAAGUUAUGUCUUAGAGAAAGAUAUUUACUUGGACAUACAAUAUUGGGAAAUCUAACUGUGGAAAAGCUAUUUUACUUGGACAAGGUGCUCCAUAAAUGGUCUCAAGAUACAAUUAACAAGUAUUAGCAUAUAUAGUCAUGUUAUGACUUGUAAAAAAAAAAAAAAGCAUAUUAGUAAGAUAAGUGCCUUAGAAAUGAUCUUAGGUUGAAGAAUUUGAGAACCAUACAUUUUUUUAGUAAUUUUAAAGAUAGAAAAGAUAAAUAUUAAUUGUGUUUUAUUGGAAAUCGUUGGAAGUGGGCUAGUCUGGGAAUUCUUCAAAUCUUCUGACAUUGAAGGGUUUUUGGCAUUUUUCAUUUGUAAAAGAUUGGUUGCCCUCAAAUAAUACAGCACAAAGUAUUGUAGUUGUAUGUUACAGGGUUUUUUUUUUAGAUUCUGAAUGCCUCUAACUAAGAUAAAGUGCAUUUCAAUGGCUGCAAUUACACUGCACUAUCAGUCAUCCGAUAUCACAAUCCUGUUCACUUAGCCCUCAAUGGCAGCAACACCUAUAAGUUCCUUGAAAGAAAUUCAGAUAGAAUGUUGCAAUUAGUCACCAUGAUCAGCCAUGUGGGGGUGCAAUUACUUAGCCAAGAAGCAAUGCUAAGUUGACCAAAUUCGUGGGUCUUAAUGCUAGACUCACAAAGGAACAACUUUCAUGAAGGAAACAUGGUGAGAAGACACUUACAAGAGCUUUGAAUGAGGCGUGCAAAAGAGUUCAGAAAAGCUGUCUGAGAAUGUCUUUUGUGUUCUUUCAAAGAAAAGUGUCAAGGAGAGAUGAUUUGCUUGGGAAGUAGGUUGGAGGGCUUUUUAUACAAGUUAUGGAAGAUGAUAAGGCUGAAAUGAAGCUUGAGUGUUGGUCUUUUCUAACCAAUACAAUAUACAAAAAUCAGUCCAAGAUAUUUUUUCUAGAUGGAGUGUA